GCAGUGCUGAUAUGCGUUUUGGCAGCGGCACAAAACUUACAGUAAUAGGCGAGAAUGAUGAAAUCAUACCUCCAGCGGUGGCCAUCUUUUCCCCAUCAAAGCAGGAGAUCCAGCAGAAGAGCAAGGCCACGCUGGUGUGCCUGGCCUCUGGUUUCUACCCUGACCACCUGACUCUGGUCUGGAGGGUGAAUGGUGUGAAAAGGACCGAAGGGGUGGGGACAGACGAGUCCUCCACACAGAAUGGGAGCACCUACUCGCUGACCAGCCGACUGAGGAUGCCAGCCUGGGAGUGGUUCAACCCUCUGAAUCGCUUUGAGUGUGUUGCCAUUUUUUUUCAGAAUGGAACAACAGCCUCAAUAAACAAAUUUAUCCAUGGUGAUGCUGGUUGUGCACUCACAGAAGAGUCGUACUUGCGGUAUGGAAAUUCCCUGAAGCUCACUUACCUCAUCCUCUGUGGCAAAGCAUUGGUCUAUGCAGUUUUGGUGAGUGGUCUGGUGUGGACAGCCAAGACUGGUGUCAAGUUAUCUAGAGAAUAAAUGAAGAGCCCUUGUCAUCACAUCAGCAGGAACAUGACAAGUUUGCUACCUUUCCAUAGCAAAAUAUCUAAGCUUCUACGAACUUCUGAAUAUCAUUUUUUGUAGUUGUCUGUUGCCAUUCUGUUCUUCACUAUUUUGUAAUCACUGCUGAGCUUUCCCUGUACUUCCAUAUCAUAAUGUAUCAUAUUUUCUUGUAACAUAUCUUUAAAAGUAGCACCUUCUUAAUGCUC
This is a non-coding RNA of Zonotrichia leucophrys gambelii, 766 nucleotides long. Lineage: Eukaryota; Metazoa; Chordata; Aves; Passeriformes; Passerellidae. The record is from the annotation of a RefSeq genome assembly.